GUGAGGAAUUUUCCGCAAUGGGCGAAAGCCUGACGGAGCAAUGCCGCGUGAAGGAUGAAGGCCUAUGGGUUGUAAACUUCUUUUCUCAGAAAAGAAUUAUGACGGUAUCUGAGGAAUAAGCAUCGGCUAACUCUGUGCCAGCAGCCGCGGUAAGACAGAGGAUGCAAGAGUUAUCCGGAAUGAUUGGGCGUAAAGCGUCUGUAGGUUGUUUAAAAAGUAUUCUGUCAAAGAUUAGGGCUUAACCCUAGAUAGGCAGAAUAAACUUUUAAGCUAGAGGUUGGUAGAGGCAGAGGGAAUUCCCGGUGGAGCGGUGAAAUGCGUAGAUAUCGGGAGGAACACCAAAGGCGAAGGCACUCUGCUGGGCCAAUACUAACACUGAGAGACGAAAGCGAGGGGAGCAAAUGGGAUUAGAUACCCUGGUAGUCC
Molecule: ribosomal RNA, 426 nt
Filed under: uncultured bacterium
Lineage: Bacteria
Description: partial 16S ribosomal RNA
Rfam family: Bacterial small subunit ribosomal RNA
Source: RNAcentral